Molecule: long non-coding RNA, 244 nt
Filed under: Elaeis guineensis (African oil palm)
Lineage: Eukaryota; Viridiplantae; Streptophyta; Magnoliopsida; Arecales; Arecaceae
Description: long non-coding RNA (EGUI_LNC041690)
Source: RNAcentral
GUCACCAAAGUAGCAUCAAAUCUGAGGGAUACUUAUACCCAUACCCCAUCAGAGCAGCCCUUGACAGCAGAAUGCUUCGAAAGUGAUCAUGCUCAGUGAAAUGUACUCUUACAUAUCACUCGUAUGUCAUAUCCAUGUCACCAUACGUUUUGAUUAAAAGGACAACCAACUAAGAUGACAUACAAUAACUUACACUCGAUAUAAUUAUCGUUCUUGUAAUAAUUGUAUCAUUUGGUCACGAGCA